This 71-nucleotide transfer RNA is filed under the name Candidatus Roizmanbacteria bacterium. Its description in RNAcentral is "tRNA-Gln". It matches the Rfam family "tRNA". From Rfam's summary of the family: Transfer RNA (tRNA) molecules are approximately 80 nucleotides in length. The record is from RNAcentral. Lineage: Bacteria; Candidatus Roizmaniibacteriota.
UGCCCGGUCGUCUAACGGUAGGACAACAGACUCUGGAUCUGUUUAUCUUGGUUCGAAUCCAAGCUGGGCAG